CCCUUAGAUGCUCUGGGCCGCACGCGCGCUACACUGACCAGUGCAACAAGCAUCCGUCCUUGGCCGACAGGCCCGGGCAAUCUUUGAACGCUGGUCGUGAUGGGGAUAGACUUUUGCAAUUUUUGGUCUUCAACGAGGAAUUCCUAGUAAACGCAAGUCAUCAACUUGCAUUGAUUACGUCCCUGCCCUUUGUACACACCGCCCGUCGCACCUACCGAUUGAAUGGUCCGGUGAAGCCUCCGGAUUGGCGCGCACCCCGGUGCCGCCGAGAAGUUGGCUAAACCUUACCAUUUAGAGGAAGGUGAAGUCGUAACA
Molecule: ribosomal RNA, 315 nt
Filed under: uncultured eukaryote
Lineage: Eukaryota
Description: partial 18S ribosomal RNA
Rfam family: Eukaryotic small subunit ribosomal RNA
Source: RNAcentral